RNAcentral lists this non-coding RNA (28 nucleotides) under Bombyx mori (domestic silkworm). The record is from RNAcentral. Lineage: Eukaryota; Metazoa; Arthropoda; Insecta; Lepidoptera; Bombycidae.
UCCCAGAAUGGUGAGCGGGCGUCGAGGA